GUGAUUAAAUCGAGCGUGUCUUCAUUGACCGCUCACCCUUCUCACCAUCCACAUACACCUGUGCACUGUUUAGCCUGAGCCGGUUUUCCGGUCCAGGUUAUCACUUCAUACAAACUCUAGUCUUAUGAAUGUAAACGUUUUAAUAACAUAAUA
RNAcentral lists this unclassified non-coding RNA (153 nucleotides) under soil metagenome. Its description in RNAcentral is "partial internal transcribed spacer 1". The record is from RNAcentral.